UGGGGAAUAUUGCACAAUGGGGGAAACCCUGAUGCAGCGACGCCGCGUGAGCGAAGAAGGUUUUCGAAUCGUAAAGCUAUGUCCUAUGGGAAGAUAAUGACGGUACCAUAGGAGGAAGCCCCGGCUAACUACGUGCCAGCAGCCGCGGUAAUACGUAGGGGGCAAGCGUGGUCCGGAAUCACUGGGCGUAAAGGGUUCGCAGGCGGAAAUGCAAGUCAGUUGUGAAAGGCAGAGGCUCAACCUCUGUAAGCAAUUGAAACUGUAUUUCUUGAGAUGUGGAGAGGCAAGUGGAAUUCCUCGUGUAGCGGUGAAAUGCGUAGAUAUUAGGAAGAAUACCGGUGGCGAAGGCGACUUGCUGUACACAAACUGACGCUGAGGAACGAAAGCGUGGGUAGCAAACAGG
RNAcentral lists this ribosomal RNA (403 nucleotides) under Fusobacteriota bacterium. Its description in RNAcentral is "Fusobacteria bacterium partial 16S ribosomal RNA". It matches the Rfam family "Bacterial small subunit ribosomal RNA", at positions 355 to 776 of the family's 1533-position model. Lineage: Bacteria; Fusobacteriati; Fusobacteriota. The record is from RNAcentral.